This is a long non-coding RNA of Bufo bufo (common toad), 202 nucleotides long. RefSeq lists it as uncharacterized. The transcript is spliced from 4 exons. Lineage: Eukaryota; Metazoa; Chordata; Amphibia; Anura; Bufonidae. The record is from RefSeq and is a predicted model, not a curated record.
CAUAUCUGUAUACAGUGUACAUGGGGGUCACACAUCUGUAUAUACAAUGUACAGGGGGUCACACAUCUGUAUAUACAGUAUAAAGGGGGUCUCACAUCUCUGUAUAUAGUGUAGAGGGGGGUCACACAUCUCUAUAUACAGUAUACAGUGGGUCACACAUCUCUAUAUACAGUAUACAGUGGGUCACACAUCUCUAUAUACA